CUGGGCUCGAACGGCUUAAGAACGACUGUAGAAAUAUGGUUUUCCCGCAAGGGACUUGAGUCGAGGUGCUGCAUGGCUGUCGUCAGCUCGUGUCGUGAGAUGUUGGGUUAAGUCCCGCAACGAGCGCAACCCUUGUCCUGUGUUGCCAUCAUUAAGUUGGGCACUCUCAGGAGACCGCCAGGGAUAACCUGGAGGAAGGUGGGGAUGACGUCAAGUCCUCAUGGCCUUUAUGUCCAGGGCUACACACGUGCUACAAUGGACGGUACAAAGCGCAGCGAACUCGCGAGAGGGAGCCAAUCGCAAAAAACCGGUCUCAGUUCGGAUCGCAGGCUGCAACUCGCCUGCGUGAAGCUGGAAUCGCUAGUAAUGCCGUAUCAGAACGAUGGCGUGAAUACGUUCCC
Molecule: ribosomal RNA, 401 nt
Filed under: uncultured bacterium
Lineage: Bacteria
Description: bacterial SSU rRNA
Rfam family: Bacterial small subunit ribosomal RNA
Source: RNAcentral